This 302-nucleotide unclassified non-coding RNA is filed under the name uncultured fungus. Its description in RNAcentral is "partial contains small subunit ribosomal RNA, internal transcribed spacer 1, and 5.8S ribosomal RNA". The stretch from base 1 to 73 matches the Rfam family "Eukaryotic small subunit ribosomal RNA", at positions 1759 to 1831 of the family's 1831-position model. Lineage: Eukaryota; Fungi. The record is from RNAcentral.
ACAAACUUGGUCAUUUAGAGGAAGUAAAAGUCGUAACAAGGUUUCCGUAGGUGAACCUGCGGAAGGAUCAUUAUUAUUUGGACUGAAGUCUAGUUUUAAGGUCCGAUUUUAAAGAACUAGACUUCUCACCAAAUAUCACAAUUUCUCUUCUAUUUAUACCGCAAGGUAUGAAUAAAGGAGCAAGAUGAACUUUUAUAUUUAAAACCCCACUCUUUAAACGACAUAUUAUUAUAUGAAUCAUUAAAAAAAAGAUCACUUUCAACAACGGAUCUCUUGGCUCUCGCAUCGAUGAAGAACGCAGC